UGGGGAAUAUUGCGCAAUGAACGAAAGUUUGACGCAGCGACGCCGCGUGAGGGACGAAGGUCUUCGGAUCGUAAACCUCUGUCAGAAGGGAAGAAGUGUAGGGGUAGUAACUGACCUCUACUUGACGGUACCUUCAAAGGAAGCACCGGCUAACUCCGUGCCAGCAGCCGCGGUAAUACGGAGGGUGCGAGCGUUAAUCGGAAUUACUGGGCGUAAAGCGCGCGUAGGCGGCUUUGUAAGUCAGGGGUGAAAUCCCACGGCUCAACCGUGGCAUUGCCUUUGAUACUGCAGAGCUUGAGUUCGGGAGAGGGUGGUGGAAUUCCAGGUGUAGGAGUGAAAUCCGUAGAGAUCUGGAGGAACAUCAGUGGCGAAGGCGACCACCUGGCCCGAUACUGACGCU
This 400-nucleotide ribosomal RNA is filed under the name uncultured bacterium. Its description in RNAcentral is "bacterial SSU rRNA". It matches the Rfam family "Bacterial small subunit ribosomal RNA", at positions 355 to 747 of the family's 1533-position model. The record is from RNAcentral.